RNAcentral lists this unclassified non-coding RNA (446 nucleotides) under Zapoteca media. Its description in RNAcentral is "partial external transcribed spacer". The record is from RNAcentral. Lineage: Eukaryota; Viridiplantae; Streptophyta; Magnoliopsida; Fabales; Fabaceae.
UGGGCGUGUGGNUGGUGUUUGGAUUGCCUCUUCCGUCUGGCUCCGUGCUCGUGCACCGAACGGUCGGCAUGCGAUCCUCGUCCCUUGAUGUGAGGUGUGUUUGAUGCCUCGCAGGUUGGUUCUUGUGCAGCCUACCAUUCUGGGUAAAGGAGGACACUUUGAUGGUUUGCCUCCGUCCUGCGCCUGGCAAUGGGUGCAGGGGAGGAUGAAGCACCCCCCGUGUUCCACUGAGCCUUGAUCGGUCACGUGGCCCUCGGGGUCGUGCAAUGCCCUUGGAUGCAGCGCAUGCUGCGGGCGAGGCCUCGUCCUCGUCCUAAGAGUAUCUUCGAUGUAAUGCAAGACGGUCGCACCCGUUCGCAGUCCGCUUAGGCGGCGCCGCGGCGGGGGGCGACGUCAUUGAGGAUUGCUACCUGGUUGAUCCUGCCAGUAGUCAUNNNCUUGUCUCA